GAUGAAGAACGCAGCGAAAUGCGAUAAGUAAUGUGAAUUGCAGAAUUCAGUGAAUCAUCGAGUCUUUGAACGCACAUUGCGCCCCCUGGUAUUCCGGGGGGCAUGCCUGUCCGAGCGUCAUUGCUGCCCUCAAACCUCGGGUUUGGUGUUGGACCCAAGUUGUGUGAACAACUGGUCUUAAAGACAAUGACGGCGUCCGUGGGACCCUCGGUGCAACGAGCUUUUAGGAGCACGCGUCGAGUUUCAAGGACCUUCCGGGCCGGUCUCCUUUACCAUUUUACAAGGUUGACCUCGGAUCAGGUAGGAAUACCCGCUGAACUUAAGCAUAUCAAUAAGCGGAGGA
RNAcentral lists this unclassified non-coding RNA (343 nucleotides) under soil metagenome. RNAcentral's name for it is "partial contains 5.8S ribosomal RNA, internal transcribed spacer 2, and large subunit ribosomal RNA". The stretch from base 1 to 120 matches the Rfam family "5.8S ribosomal RNA", at positions 35 to 154 of the family's 154-position model. The record is from RNAcentral.